Molecule: ribosomal RNA, 617 nt
Filed under: uncultured bacterium
Lineage: Bacteria
Description: bacterial SSU rRNA
Rfam family: Bacterial small subunit ribosomal RNA
Source: RNAcentral
CCUACGGGAGGCAGCAGUGGGGAAUUUUGGACAAUGGGCGAAAGCCUGAUCCAGCCAUGCCGCGUGCGGGAAGAAGGCCUUCGGGUUGUAAACCGCUUUUGUCAGGGAAGAAAUCCUUUGAGUUAAUACCUCGGAGGGAUGACGGUACCUGAAGAAUAAGCACCGGCUAACUACGUGCCAGCAGCCGCGGUAAUACGUAGGGUGCGAGCGUUAAUCGGAAUUACUGGGCGUAAAGCGUGCGCAGGCGGUCUUGCAAGACAGGUGUGAAAUCCCCGGGCUCAACCUGGGAACUGCACUUGUGACUGCAAGGCUGGAGUACGGCAGAGGGGGAUGGAAUUCCGCGUGUAGCAGUGAAAUGCGUAGAUAUGCGGAGGAACACCGAUGGCGAAGGCAAUCCCCUGGGCCUGUACUGACGCUCAUGCACGAAAGCGUGGGGAGCAAACAGGAUUAGAUACCCUGGUAGUCCACGCCCUAAACGAUGUCAACUGGUUGUUGGACGGCUUGCUGUUCAGUAACGAAGCUAACGCGUGAAGUUGACCGCCUGGGGAGUACGGCCGCAAGGUUGAAACUCAAAUGAAUUGACCGGNUGAGAGNGCGAGACGACACGAGGGAGGAGG